GCGGGUAUAACUCAAUGGUAGAGUGCCAUCCUUCCAAGUUGGACGUUGCGUGUUCGAAUCACGUUACCCGCU
Micromonas sp. is the source of this 72-nucleotide transfer RNA. It matches the Rfam family "tRNA". From Rfam's summary of the family: Transfer RNA (tRNA) molecules are approximately 80 nucleotides in length. Their secondary structure includes four short double-helical elements and three loops (D, anti-codon, and T loops). NCBI's taxonomy places the organism in Eukaryota, Viridiplantae, Chlorophyta, Mamiellophyceae, Mamiellales, Mamiellaceae. The record is from Rfam.